This 505-nucleotide ribosomal RNA is filed under the name uncultured bacterium. RNAcentral describes it as "partial 16S ribosomal RNA". It matches the Rfam family "Bacterial small subunit ribosomal RNA", at positions 28 to 507 of the family's 1533-position model. The record is from RNAcentral.
GACGAACGCUGGCGGCGUGCCUAAUACAUGCAAGUAGAACGCACAGUUUAUACCGUAGCUUGCUACACCAUAGACUGUGAGUUGCGAACGGGUGAGUAACGCGUAGGUAACCUGCCUGGUAGCGGGGGAUAACUAUUGGAAACGAUAGCUAAUACCGCAUAAUAUUAAUUAUUGUAUGAUAAUUAAUUGAAAGGUGCAAUUGCACCACUACCAGAUGGACCUGCGUUGUAUUAGCUAGUAGGUGAGGUAACGGCUCACCUAGGCGACGAUACAUAGCCGACCUGAGAGGGUGAUCGGCCACACUGGGACUGAGACACGGCCCAGACUCCUACGGGAGGCAGCAGUAGGGAAUCUUCGGCAAUGGACGAAAGUCUGACCGAGCAACGCCGCGUGAGUGAAGAAGGUUUUCGGAUCGUAAAGCUCUGUUGUAAGAGAAGAACGGGUGUGAGAGUGGAAAGUUCGCACUGUGACGGUAUCUUACCAGAAAGGGACGGCUAACUACGUG